AUGUUGUUUCAGCUCAUGGACAAGAUCAGGAGAAAGAUUACGGUGAAGUUUGAGAAGAGGAGAAGGGUAGCUAGAAAAUUUCAAGGUCGGCGUAUACUUCCAAGUGUCAUGAAGGAGUUGAAUGACAUAAGCAGGGGGCUGGACAUUGAAUAUGAGAGAAUAGAUGACAUGAUUGCAGAGGUGAGUGAGAGUGUUGCGCUAGGUGGCAAGUGCCAUGUCACUGAUCUAGCAAAUAGGACAUGCACAUGCAGGGCAUUUCAAGUCUCGGGGAAGCCUUGUAAACAUGCAAUUAGCUUUAUUACUGGAAUUAGGGGGGUCACAAUAGAACACUUCGUUGAUGAUUGUUACAGCGUUGCCAAGUUCGCUGCAGCUUAUGCUCCUAUUCUUCCUGGCCUAACCGACAUGUCUCAAUGGCCAAGUGUCAACAAAGAAUUCUUCUUGAACCCCCCAAUCCUUAGGAGGGCCCCUGGGAGACCAAAGGUACAGAGGCAGAAAAGUGGUGCUGAGAAUAGCAAGGGAAAGGGAAAGAAAGGCCAACACCAAUGUCCAAUUUGCAAAGCUUAUGGACAUAGAUGGCAAAGCUGCAAAGAUGCUGCUCCUGAAGCACUAGAAGCCUAUGCAGAAGUAGCAAAGCAAAAAAGGGACAAAAGAAAGAAGAAAUCCAUUACAAAAGCUAUUUGUACAACAUCAGAUCAAGCAACCAAUGGUACACUACCUCUACUUCCGUGUCCAAGUGAAAAUGAAACUGCACUAGCUCUACUUUCAUGUCCAAGUGAUGCAAUUCAAGACGAUGUUGCCAAGUCUACAUCAUCGAAGAGUACCUCGAAAUCUAGAAGAUCAAAGGUCAUAUCUGUUGUGCUUGACAGCCCUGCAAUGGGAACUCGAAGCAAGAAGAGAGCUGCGCCUAACAGCCAAGCAAUGGCCAGUCGAAGCAAAAAAAAGUUGAAGUUGUGA
This 954-nucleotide ribosomal RNA is filed under the name Triticum aestivum (bread wheat). RNAcentral's name for it is "partial small subunit ribosomal RNA". Lineage: Eukaryota; Viridiplantae; Streptophyta; Magnoliopsida; Poales; Poaceae. The record is from RNAcentral.